This 737-nucleotide long non-coding RNA is filed under the name Nicotiana benthamiana. RNAcentral's name for it is "long non-coding RNA (NBEN_LNC031145)". The record is from RNAcentral. Lineage: Eukaryota; Viridiplantae; Streptophyta; Magnoliopsida; Solanales; Solanaceae.
UUUGAAGUGAAACGAAAUUCCUAACAGAAGAUUAUUAUUGAUGAGCAAGUAGAACAAACAUACUAUCACAAAAAAAUUAAAAGAAGGUAAAAAGAAACAGGGGGACUUAGCUUAAAGAACAGCACAACCCCAAAAAAAACCAUGACCUUUGCAUCUUAAGGGUUUCCGUUGAUUUCAAAUUUGAGAGGAUCUUUUGCCAUUUGAGAAAGGAUGAGCAAUCAUUUGAGAGAAGGAGGGUACCAGGUGUAAGAUUGGCUGGGAUUGGGAUGGAUUUGGGCUUCAAACAAGUUUUAGAUUUAAUUUUUUACAAGGACCGGUUGUAUUCGUGGGUUGUUGGUUAUGGAUUUGUAGAGAUGGAGGUGAGGGGGUUGCGUGGUGUUAGUUUCAAAGGAUUCCGGGGAAGUUAAGGAUUUGGUCGGAGCUUUGGACGAAUAUUUGAAGCAAUUAACUAAGGUUUGAAAUAAAUUGGGGCUGGAUCCCUUAUGGGGAUUGGGUGAGGGACUUAGGGUGUUAUUUUUCGGAGGGUUUCGGCGGUGGUGCCGCCAGGGUCGGCGUCCACAAAUUUCUAUAUUCGAGAAGUUUGGCUUAUAGCUAAAGUUUGGUUUUUAGGGCAUUGGAAAGAGGAGGGAGUGGUGGUUCAGGGGUGUAUUUUUGGGAGGCAUUGGAGAGUCGCCGCCAGUUGCGACGAUUUCUGGUUGGCGAAUGUGAGGCGGCGUAUCAGUGGAGACAAAGGUAUU